Molecule: ribosomal RNA, 421 nt
Filed under: uncultured bacterium
Lineage: Bacteria
Description: bacterial SSU rRNA
Rfam family: Bacterial small subunit ribosomal RNA
Source: RNAcentral
GAGGAAUAUUGGUCAAUGGACGAGAGUCUGAACCAGCCAAAUCGCGUGAAGGAAGACUGCCCUACGGGUUGUAAACUUCUUUUGUACAGGAAUAAAAGACAUUACGUGUAAUGUAUUGCAUGUACUGUACGAAUAAGCAUCGGCUAACUCCGUGCCAGCAGCCGCGGUAAUACGGAGGAUGCGAGCGUUAUCCGGAUCUAUUGGGUUUAAAGGGUGCGCAGGCGGGAUUUUAAGUCAGCGGUGAAAUUUUCAGGCUCAACCUGAACACUGCCGUUGAAACUGGGAUUCUUGAGUAUGGAUGAAGUAGGCGGAAUUCGUUGUGUAGCGGUGACAUGCUUAGAUAUAACGAGGAACUCCGAUUGCGUAGGCAGCUUACUAAGCCAUAACUGACGCUCAAGCACGAAAGCGUGGGGAUCAAACA